GCGACCCAAGUUAGGCGGGA
This 20-nucleotide ribosomal RNA is filed under the name Packera aurea. RNAcentral describes it as "partial 25S ribosomal RNA". The record is from RNAcentral. Lineage: Eukaryota; Viridiplantae; Streptophyta; Magnoliopsida; Asterales; Asteraceae.